AUUGAACGCUGGCGGCAUGCCUUACACAUGCAAGUCGAACGGUAACAGGUCUUCGGAUGCUGACGAGUGGCGAACGGGUGCGUAAUACAUCGGAACGUGCCCGAUCGUGGGGGAUAACGAGGCGAAAGCUUUGCUAAUACCCCAUACGAUCUACGGAUGAAAGCGGGGGAUCUUCGGACCUCGCGCGGACGGAGCGGCCGAUGGCAGAUUAGGUAGUUGGUGGGAUAAAAGCUUACCAAGCCGACGAUCUGUAGCUGGUCUGAGAGGAUGAUCAGCCACACUGGGACUGAGACACGGCCCAGACUCCUACGGGAGGCAGCAGUGGGGAAUUUUGGACAAUGGGCGAAAGCCUGAUCCAGCCAUGCCGCGUGCAGGAUGAAGGCCUUUGGGUUGUAAACUGCUUUUGUACGGAACGAAAAGCCUCUUUCUAAUAAAGAGGGGUCAUGACGGUACCGUAAGAAUAAGCACCGGCUAACUACGUG
RNAcentral lists this ribosomal RNA (482 nucleotides) under uncultured bacterium. RNAcentral describes it as "partial 16S ribosomal RNA". It matches the Rfam family "Bacterial small subunit ribosomal RNA", at positions 30 to 507 of the family's 1533-position model. The record is from RNAcentral.